This 461-nucleotide ribosomal RNA is filed under the name uncultured bacterium. Its description in RNAcentral is "bacterial SSU rRNA". It matches the Rfam family "Bacterial small subunit ribosomal RNA", at positions 28 to 507 of the family's 1533-position model. The record is from RNAcentral.
GAUGAACGUUGGCGGCGUGCCUAAUACAUGCAAGUCGAACGAAGACUGUAGUAAUACUGUCUUAGUGGCGAAACGGGUGAGUAACGCGUGGGUGACCUGCCCCGAAGUGUGGGAUAACAGUUCGAAAGGAUUGCUAAUACUGCAUAAUAUCCAAGAGAUUAGACGCUUUUGGAUUAAAGGAGUAAUUCGCUUCGGGAGGGGCCCGCGUCCCAUCAGCUAGUUGGUAAGGUAAUGGCUUACCAAGGCGAUGACGGGUAGGGGACCUGAGAGGGUGGCCCCCCACAAUGGAACUGAAACACGGUCCAUACACCUACGGGUGGCAGCAGUAGGGAAUAUUAGUAAUGGGCGAAAGCCUGAACUAGCAACGCCGCGUGUGCGAAGAAGGCCUUCGGGUUGUAAAGCACUUUUUGAGAGGAUGAGGAAGGACGGUACUCUCAGAAUAAGUCUCGGCUAACUACGUG